AAAAUGGAAGCUUUUUAAAUGAAGCGUUAGAUUUUUGAUCUGGAAAAGAGGUGUGUCCUUUCAUUUUA
RNAcentral lists this transfer RNA (68 nucleotides) under Halocynthia roretzi. RNAcentral describes it as "tRNA-Lys". The record is from RNAcentral. Lineage: Eukaryota; Metazoa; Chordata; Ascidiacea; Stolidobranchia; Pyuridae.